GAGGAUUGCAUCAUCAGUCAUGGAACAAAUGGGCUGUGAUCCAACAUCGCUGUUAGAUCCAACCUUCCUCAUCAUCUGUUCUCUCAACUGUAAUAUUUUUUCCUUCAUAAUAAACCAAAUAAUACCAUUAGUUUGUUUUGAAGGCUUCAAAAGUAUUCAAAAUAUGGUAUGAUACUUACCUGGCAUUGCCUCGCCUCCUCGAUCACAAACUGAUCACUUUUGUUCUAAUAGAAUUUUUUGUAGGCAUCGAUUCUGGAUAGUCCCUAUUCAAACAAAAAAAAGGAAAAAAGGACAUCAAAGUAAUUAUAUAUUCAAUAAGAACAUCCUAUAGCGUGCAAUUGCAAAUGUAGUUACAUAUCAUCCUCUUCAUUUCUUGCACAAAGAACGCACUCCUUUGCAUGUGAAUGGAAUCAAACUUACUCCUAUUCAUCUUGUUCAUCUCUGAUCAUUGCUAAAAAAUAUAUAUAAUUAUAGUAAAAAAAAAUAAUAUCAAAAUAACUUGAAAUACUAAACAUAUCUUAAACACCUCGCUCUUUAAAUACUCGCACAAUCACCAUCAAUUGUCAUAAGAUCUGGCCCAGUUUAUGUAAGUUUAGUUCAUAGGGUCAAUCUCUCUCACUCGCAAAUCAUUGUAGUAUGUAAGAAGUCUACAUCACUGAUCCCUAUAUCUGUUUGCAGUCAUUUUGAGGAUACACAUCGUCACUUCUUCAUCGGUGCAAUCCUCGAAUGUAAUGAUAUCCUACACAUGUAAACAUUCAUCACAAUAUGUAAAUACAAUAAAUCUCAUAAGAAAUAUAUAUUAACUUAUCUUGAUGUGAGAGACAAGGGCAUCGCGGAAUUGAGAGACGAUAUGUCUGAAAAUUUUGAUGGCUCGCGAAAAAUGAUUCCACAUGAAUAGACUGAUCUCGUUGGCGACUAUACUCACCUCCGUGCCAAUCGGAUGAUUUCGAAAUAGCUGUAACUUUGGCCUUUUGUUGUAGGUAUGUACGUAUUUCUCCAAGAUUAGACCCCUACUAGGAUCACGCACCGUACGUCAUUGCUGUGUGCCUGCACAUGAAAAUUUGUAAAAUGAAUAUAUAUCAUCUACUAAUAGAUGUAUAUAACAAAGAAAUGAUGUACAUAAUUUAUAAAUAUGAUAGAGGUAUACAUGCAGGGGAAUGAUGCUGCGAUGCCAUGAUUUCCUACUGAACUAGCUACGACUAAGCACUAGUCUACUUCGCGGACUCGGGUGGUUGGGUCUCAUCCAAAGUCCUUUGACUCAUUGCAUAGAGGACUAAAAUGAGGAUGUGUGUCAUCAAGUGGGGCCUGACAUUUAUACUACGAACGUUCGUGCUAGGAUCAGUCAUGAUGCUGUAAUGGUUAACAUAAUUUGAAUAAGCAC
RNAcentral lists this long non-coding RNA (1381 nucleotides) under Elaeis guineensis (African oil palm). Its description in RNAcentral is "long non-coding RNA (EGUI_LNC036114)". The record is from RNAcentral. Lineage: Eukaryota; Viridiplantae; Streptophyta; Magnoliopsida; Arecales; Arecaceae.